RNAcentral lists this unclassified non-coding RNA (207 nucleotides) under bacterium L10(2011). Its description in RNAcentral is "partial contains 16S ribosomal RNA and 16S-23S ribosomal RNA intergenic spacer". The stretch from base 1 to 157 matches the Rfam family "Bacterial small subunit ribosomal RNA", at positions 1379 to 1533 of the family's 1533-position model. The record is from RNAcentral.
UCUUGUACACCCGCCCGUCACACCAUGAGAGUUUGUAACACCCGAAGCCGGUGGCGUAACCCUUUUAGGGAGCGAGCCGUCUAAGGUGGGACAAAUGAUUAGGGUGAAGUCGUAACAAGGUAGCCGUAGGAGAACCUGCGGCUGGAUCACCUCCUUUCUAAGGAAACAGACUGAAAGUCUGACGGAAACCUGCACACACGAAACUUU